AGGCCAUGGCGUGGGCAGAAUCUUAACAGCUCCUUAUAGCUCUCCCAAGCUUCAAAAAGUGAUUCUCCUUGGUUUUGGAUAAAUCUAGUUAUUUAGUUUCGAAGAAC
Molecule: small nucleolar RNA, 107 nt
Organism: Lathyrus oleraceus (garden pea)
Lineage: Eukaryota; Viridiplantae; Streptophyta; Magnoliopsida; Fabales; Fabaceae
Source: RefSeq, a predicted model, not a curated record